RNAcentral lists this ribosomal RNA (253 nucleotides) under uncultured bacterium. RNAcentral describes it as "partial 16S ribosomal RNA". It matches the Rfam family "Bacterial small subunit ribosomal RNA", at positions 524 to 776 of the family's 1533-position model. The record is from RNAcentral.
UACGUAGGGUGCAAGCGUUGUCCGGAAUUACUGGGCGUAAAGCGCGUGUAGGUGGCGAGGCAAGUCGGGUGUGAAAGCCCUGGGCUCAACCCAGGAAGUGCACUCGAUACUGCCUAGCUAGAGUCCCGGAGAGGUUGGUGGAACUCUCGGUGUAGAGGUGAAAUUCGUAGAUAUCGAGAAGAACACCGGUGGCGAAGGCGGCCAACUGGACGGUGACUGACACUGAGACGCGAAAGCGUGGGGAGCAAACAGG